Molecule: ribosomal RNA, 253 nt
Filed under: uncultured bacterium
Lineage: Bacteria
Description: partial 16S ribosomal RNA
Rfam family: Bacterial small subunit ribosomal RNA
Source: RNAcentral
UACGGGGGGGGCAAGCGUUGUUCGGAAUUACUGGGCGUAAAGGGCUCGUAGGCGGCCAACUAAGUCAGACGUGAAAUCCCUCGGCUUAACCGGGGAACUGCAUCUGAUACUGGAUGGCUUGAGUUCGGGACAGGGAUGCGGAAUUCCAGGUGUAGCGGUGAAAUGCGUAGAUAUCUGGAGGAACACCGGUGGCGAAGGCGGCAUCCUGGACCGACACUGACGCUGAGGAGCGAAAGCCAGGGGAGCAAACGGG